GUGUCUUUAAUGUGAAUAGAGGUGCUAUGUCAGUCAAGUUGGGAGGUUAUCCGAUACGUCGGACAUUAACUUAUUAAGUUUGUAAUUUCCAAACUGUGCUAUUUAUAAGAUGUCCGUCUGUCGUAUCGUAGACCAGCAGUGCAGUUAAUAGUUAUCCUUGAUCAAUUUGUCUGUCGUCUCAAUUGCGAAUCGUUCAGUGGAAAAAGUGUAAGGGUGGACAUUGUGGUAGGACACGGAUCGCAGUCAUAUAACACGACAAGCCUUCGAAUACAUUCCUUGUAUUACAGAGAUUUGUAGUACAGAGUGUCGUGUUAUUUUCAUCAAGAUUAUUGCUGCUUGUAAUUUUAUAUUGCCGCAUUUGCUCCAGUCACUCGACGAUAUACAUAUUUAUUCAAAGUGACGCAACAAUAUCUUCCUCCAACAUCCACCCUGUGAAAUGAGUGUUUUCACAGCUGGAUAGGCUAUCGGUGAGUCUUGGCAUGCAUUCCCAGGGAGACGGAAAUACUUUGUCAAACGAUGCGCAACAAACGAGAAGGAUCACUCGCGUUGUCUAUACCACGCCAAUUACAAUGAUGCGACAAAAGCGUUCGAAAAUGCAUUUUAAGAACGAUUGCCGCUCAAAUAUCCGCAUUCGCUUAUGCGGAAUCGACAGAAGUUGCAAUGCUUUUUCUUCAUAGUGAACUAGUGCCAAUGCGAUCGCCCCAGAUAAUCACGUAACAACGAUAGACCACAUAAUAACGAUGAGUGCGGAAGUAAUUGUCUUGAAGUGAUGUAGUCAGCUGUCACUAAGGUUUCAAAAAGCGCAAACGAAGCUGAAUUUUCGUAUUAGUGGGUGUGGCUUCGGCUCCAACAUGCCAACAAUCAAUUGGAACAAGAAUCGCUAGAUGGUUCUUGGAAAUGAUGGGAUUCCAUUAUUCAGCGCGAUCUGUAUUGACUGAAUUCUUUCAUAAUAAAACCCCACCGAUAAUAAUCCAGGGAGAACAAUUUGACCUGAAAUGGGUCAAAAAAUUAUAGUAUGCACAGGGACGUGCCAUUCUUCAUUUAAAUAUUAAUUUUCCUUUGUUAAAUAUUGAACCUGCUUAAGAACCUUAAUGCAUGUUUUUUAUCAUUUACUUCGGCCAUAAUUUAUCAGAUUCAGAAACAAAUAUUAUGCACAAGUUUUAUC
This 1165-nucleotide unclassified non-coding RNA is filed under the name Daphnia pulex (common water flea). RNAcentral describes it as "serine protease hepsin-like, transcript variant X2". Lineage: Eukaryota; Metazoa; Arthropoda; Branchiopoda; Diplostraca; Daphniidae. The record is from RNAcentral.